CAGUCGGAAACGACUGCUAAUCCGCAUAGGACAUAGGAUCACAUGAUCCAGUGAGGAAAGGUGGCACAAGCUAUCGCUAAGAGAUGGACCCGCGGUGCAUUAGCUAGUUGGUAGGGUAAAGGCCUACCAAGGCGAUGAUGCAUAGCCGACCUGAGAGGGUGAUCGGCCACAUUGGGACUGAGACACGGCCCAAACUCUACGGGAGGCAGCAGUAGGGAAUCUUCCGCAAUGGACGCAAGUCUGACGGAGCAACGCCGCGUGAGUGAAGAAGGUCUUCGGAUCGUAAAGCUCUGUUGUUAGAGAAUGAACAGCGCAUGA
RNAcentral lists this ribosomal RNA (318 nucleotides) under Abiotrophia defectiva. RNAcentral describes it as "bacterial SSU rRNA". It matches the Rfam family "Bacterial small subunit ribosomal RNA", at positions 147 to 460 of the family's 1533-position model. The record is from RNAcentral. Lineage: Bacteria; Bacillati; Bacillota; Bacilli; Lactobacillales; Aerococcaceae.